AGAUUGAACGCUGGCGGCGUGCCUAACACAUGCAAGUCGAGCGGUAACAGGUGUAGCAAUACAUGCUGACGAGCGGCGAACGGGUGAGUAAUGCUUUGGAAUCUUCCCAGUAGUGGGGAAUAACCAGUCGAAAGAUUGGCUAAUACCGCAUACGUCUGUAAAGGGAAAGCGGGGGCUCGUAAUACCUCGCGCUAUUGGAUGAGCCAAAGUCGGAUUAGCUAGUUGGUGGGGUAAUGGCCUACCAAGGCGACAAUCCGUAGCUGGUCUGAGAGGACGACCAGCCACACCGGAACUGAGACACGGUCCGGACUCCUACGGGAGGCAGCAGUGGGGAAUAUUGGACAAUGGGGGAAACCCUGAUCCAGCGACGCCGCGUGUGUGAAGAAGGCCUGCGGGUUGUAAAGCACUUUUAGUGGGGACAAAAAGCUACGGAUUAAUACUCUGUGGUCUUGAUUUAACCCAAGAAAAGCACCGGCUAACUCUGUGCCAGCAGCCGC
This 497-nucleotide ribosomal RNA is filed under the name uncultured bacterium. RNAcentral's name for it is "SSU rRNA". It matches the Rfam family "Bacterial small subunit ribosomal RNA", at positions 26 to 518 of the family's 1533-position model. The record is from RNAcentral.